RNAcentral lists this ribosomal RNA (253 nucleotides) under uncultured bacterium. Its description in RNAcentral is "partial 16S ribosomal RNA". It matches the Rfam family "Bacterial small subunit ribosomal RNA", at positions 524 to 776 of the family's 1533-position model. The record is from RNAcentral.
UACGUAGGCAGCGAGCGUUGUUCGGAUUUACUGGGCGUAAAGAGUGCGUAGGCGGUUUUCUAAGUUUGGUGUGAAAUCUCCCGGCUUAACUGGGAGGGUGCGCCGAAGACUGGAAGGCUUGAGUAUGGGAGAGGUAAGCGGAAUUCCUGGUGUAGCGGUGAAAUGCGCAGAUAUCAGGAGGAACACCAAUGGCGAAGGCAGCUCGCUGGAACGGUACUGACGCUGAGGCGCGAAAGCGUGGGGAGCAAACAGG